This is an unclassified non-coding RNA of Stegodyphus dumicola, 1976 nucleotides long. NCBI's taxonomy places the organism in Eukaryota, Metazoa, Arthropoda, Arachnida, Araneae, Eresidae. The record is from RefSeq and is a predicted model, not a curated record.
AGGAAAGGCCGUUCAAGUUGGGGCGCAGUUAGAGUUUAGUGUUUAUAGUCUUUAGUCUUUUAUUUAUAAAUUUAAAGAAACAGUAAAAGCUUCAAGAAUUUAGCUACCUUAAGAUGAAGGCAUCAAUUUGAAUUCCUGGCUAAGAAUGGAUUAUUAUUUCAUUUAAUUACAUAAGGUUGUUUUGAAGAUUAACCAAUAAAUUUUCGUUCGACAAUUCCUUUAUUCUGAUAGUAAAAGAUGGAAGACACAUCGAGUGCUUCAUCAGACAGUGAUAAUGCUCUCUUGUCUCCUAAAGACCGAUCGCGAAUCGGCUGCAGCGUGGCCAACGCAAACACCCGAAAUGCCUCGGCACGAGAUGAAUCUUCCUGAUUCGUCGACGAGAAGUCUUGUUACUAACAACGUAGAUUCUUCUUCUAUUAUGGUGUACAAAUUAGAUCCCCAAAAGUCAAUAUCAGAACUGGAACGAGAGGCAAAGAAUCUCGCCAUUCCCGAUGUAGUUGUGGAAUAUAUUAAAGAUUCUUACCACAGGCAAGAAGAUAAGGAAAAUGGCGUUACAAAUCCUGUUUUCGAACCUCAAGAUCUCAUUGUCGUAAGAACACCGUCUUCCGUUAGUUUAAGAGAUGAUAUCAAUACUGAAAAUGCAAUGGCAUUGUCUCCUUUAAACAAAGACACUCAGAGACUGUAUUACAGCCUUCCGAGGACGGUGAAGAAACUAGGGGAUGCAUCUGAUGCUCCUGUGCACAGCCAGCCGUCUAUUCCAAAGCUAAAGCCGGGACUUUUGACUGUUGUCGAUCCAUCAUUAUCUGCUUCUUCUUCUUCGUUAGGAUAUCCAAGGUCUGUUCCUCCUUCUCCUAAUUUCGGCUACAGGCCCUUGGAAAGCGCGAGACAUCAGCUGUCUACACCAUCAUCGCCCCCGUUCGAUAUACCGUAAAUGGGAACGAUAAAGAAAGGGAGUUGGAAAUGCUUGCACAGUUGCAGGCACAACUGGAACGGGAGAAAGCAACAGCAAGGAAAUUCGAAUUUAAUCCUGCUCCUGUUGAGGUAGAACGUAAACGGCAACGCCUUCAGUGUGCAACAGAUGUGUGCUCCACCAUGUUCCUGAUACCUGGCAUCUUCAUCGCCAUUGUGACACCUAUCUCUUUGAUCCCCAUGUUUCUGCUACCACUUUCUUACUACAUUCCUCUCAUCGCCGUCUUCAUACUGUCCGGCUGCGCAUCUGUCAUCUCGCUGGCCAUGUCCGGACUCGUCGGGAAUGUUGUCUGGCACUACGAUAGCGAGAAGAAGAGAUUGCGUCCUAGGCUUCACUGUGGUAAAGGACCGCUUCUUCACUUCUGGGGAAACGGAUUCUAUCCACCGAAAGACGACAAAAGACCUUUGACUCAAGAUAAGAUAGUUUGAUAGAUCAUGUACGAGAUUCUGUUGUAUUCGUUGGAAAGAAGUGAUUUUUAUAAAGGUGUGAGAGAAGACAUUUGUGUAAUUACAAUCAUAUUUCUUUUACUAUAAUUCGUUAUUAAUGUUUCUCAUUGUUAAAUUAUAAUACCAUACACAUUAUGUAAUAAUUAGUGUUAUAAGUUUGUUAUAAAUCGCAUAAGUUCUGAAAAUUCUUGAACAUCUUUUCGCAAUAUUAUAUUGAGAUCUGAUGAUUUGAAGGGAGUCCACUUUAUACGAUCCAGUUCACAUAACUGAUGACAGAGACUUAACUUGCAUUUUCAAAAACUGCUCACUAUCUUCUAAUUUCUUUGAUAUAUAUCGAUACAUAUAAUAUAAUUAGACAUAUAGGUAUACAAAACAAAAAUUUUGUGUGCUCAGCAGCUGAAAUGACUAGAUGAUAAGAAAACGUUAGAAAAACAGGUAAUGCAACAUAAUUCCUGUAAAUAAAACUUGAAAAGUAGCCUCAUACUUUGUGUUAAAAUCUGCAAGUAUGUUUACUUCUGGAUCUCAGAGUGGGAUUUCGGAUCUUAAAGUCUACUCCAACU